GGGGAUUUGGCUCAGUGGUAGAGCGCUUGCCUCGCAAGCACAAGGCCCUGGGUUCGGUCCCCAGCUCCG
Molecule: transfer RNA, 69 nt
Filed under: Rattus norvegicus (Norway rat)
Lineage: Eukaryota; Metazoa; Chordata; Mammalia; Rodentia; Muridae
Rfam family: tRNA
About the family: Transfer RNA (tRNA) molecules are approximately 80 nucleotides in length. Their secondary structure includes four short double-helical elements and three loops (D, anti-codon, and T loops).
Source: Rfam by way of RNAcentral